UAUGAGAUCAUUAUUUAUUUGGCAUAUGUACUGUAGUCUAGAGGAGCUGUUCCUCCUACGCUAUAAGGCUUUUUGUAUAGUAUUAGAAAUAUUACUUAUAUUAGGAAGCUUUAGACAUAUUCCUUGUAUGUUCAAUGCCCAGAGGUUGCCCUGAAAUCUUUGAUCAUCAUGAAAACAUUUUCUCCAUUCCAUAUUCUAUCCUGAAUGCUAAUCUGCAGCCUGCGUUCAUAAAACACAGGUGCGACAAUGAUAGGCUGAAAAAAUAUCAGUAAAUACUAAAUGUAUUUUAUUAUGAAGUUAACUGGUUGAGUAGUGUUGUGGACCUUUUCUUGAACCAUUGUAAUACUACGUGCAACACCUCUCCAGUGCGGAUAAUAAUAAUAAGCUGUUUGUUAAAACAAAGUACUUUUACGAUAUUACGAUUUAACUAUACAGUGAAUUUCAGAGUUGUGUUUGAAUUAAACAUAAUCCGGAUUAUUUGAAUCAGAUCA
Long non-coding RNA from Spea bombifrons (plains spadefoot toad), 491 nucleotides. RefSeq lists it as uncharacterized. The transcript is spliced from 2 exons. The record is from RefSeq and is a predicted model, not a curated record. Lineage: Eukaryota; Metazoa; Chordata; Amphibia; Anura; Pelobatidae.